This 403-nucleotide transfer-messenger RNA is filed under the name Candidatus Moraniibacteriota bacterium. It matches the Rfam family "transfer-messenger RNA". Rfam says of the family: Bacterial tmRNA, also known as 10Sa RNA or SsrA, is named for its dual tRNA and mRNA-like properties. Its role is to liberate the mRNA from a stalled ribosome. Lineage: Bacteria; Candidatus Moraniibacteriota. The record is from RNAcentral.
GGGGUUGUUUAGACUCGACAGGGCGUACUUUCAAAAUAGGCAAGCCGAUCUUGAGAACAUGAUCGUAAAAAUCGUUCUCACGAUGAUAAAUGCAAACUUCAUCACAAAAGCAAAGAAUGCGAUCGCGCAAGCGUUCGCACCAACUUUCGCUCUUGCUCUCGCCUAAAUUUUAGCGCGGAGCCAUCAGAAUCCCGAUUCUCGGUAAGGAAUCUCUGGUGUCAUAUAAUCGAGACGGCCGAAGAGUUUCUUUUUCUUUCUUCUUCUCAGCCGUAUUGCGAAAGAAAAAAAUGAAUGGAGAUUUUGUCUGCUUUUUACUUCUUUCAUUACACAAAGCACUCUAAGCUUGUAGAAUAUUUUGGGAAAAUGUUUCUGGACAUGGGUGCAAUUCCCAUCAACUCCACAC